UUCCGGUUGAUCCUGCCGGAGGCGACCGCUAUUGGAGUUCGAUUAAGCCAUGCGAGUAGAAAGAAAUUGGAUUCUUUGCAUACUGCUCAGUAACACGUGGAUAACCUGCCCUACACUGGGGGAUAAUCUCGGGAAACUGAGCAUAAUACCCCAUAGACCACUACGCCUGGAACGGUGAGUGGUUGAAAGCUCAGGCGGUGUAGGAUGGGUCUGCGGCGUAUCAGGUCGUAGGGGGUGUAAUGGACCUCCUAGCCAUCGACGCGUACGGGUUGUGGGAGCAAUAGCCCGGAGACGGAUUCUGAGACACGAGUCCGGACCCUACGGGGUGCAGCAGGCGCGAAAACUUCACACUGCAGGAAACUGUGAUGAGGGAACUCCAAGUGACUGCCCAAUGGGUAGCCUUUUCUUGAAUCUUAAUAGUUCUUGGAAUAAGGGCUGGGAAAGACCGGUGCCAGCCGCCGCGGUAAUACCGGCAGCUCAAGUGGUCGUCGCUUUUAUUGGGCCUAAAACGUCCGUAGCCUGUUUGGUAAAUCUGUGGGUAAAUCAACGAGCUUAACUCGUUGAAUUCUGCAGAGACUGCCAGACUAGGGACCGGAAGAGGUAUGAGGUACUCUGGGGGUAGGGGUAAAAUCCUGUCAUCCUCAGAGGACCACCUGUUGCGAAGGCGUCAUACUGGAACGGAUCCGACGGUCAGGGACGAAGCCUAGGGGCACGAACCGGAUUAGAUACCCGGGUAGUCCUAGGUGUAAACGCUGUGGAUUUGGUGUGUGGGGUCCGCAAUGGGCCCCAUGUGCCGGAGUGAAGAUGUUAAAUCCACUGCCUGGGGAGUACGGUCGCAAGGCUGAAACUUAAAGGAAUUGGCGGGGCAGCAC
Molecule: ribosomal RNA, 872 nt
Filed under: uncultured euryarchaeote
Lineage: Archaea; Methanobacteriati; Methanobacteriota
Description: bacterial SSU rRNA
Rfam family: Archaeal small subunit ribosomal RNA
Source: RNAcentral